AGUGAACGCUGGCGGUAGGCCUAACACAUGCAAGUCGAACGGCAGCACAGUAAGAGCUUGCUCUUACGGGUGGCGAGUGGCGGACGGGUGAGGAAUACAUCGGAAUCUACUUUUUCGUGGGGGAUAACGUAGGGAAACUUACUCUAAUACCGCAUACGCCCUACGGGUGAAAGGAGGGGAACUUCGGACCUUGUGCGAUUGAAUGAGCCGAUGUCGGCUUAGCUAGUUGGCGGGGGAAAGGCCCACCAAGGCGCCGAUCCGUAGCUGGUGUGAGAGGAUGGUCAGCCACACUGGAAGUUGGACGCGGUCAAGACUCCUGCGGGAGGCAGCAGUGGGGAAUAUUGGACAAUGGGCGCAAGCCUGAUCCAGCCGUACCGCGUGGGUGAAGGAGGCCUUCGGGUUGUAAAGCCCUUUUGUUGGUAAAGAAAAGCAGCAGGUUAAUACCACGCUGUUCUGACGGUACCCAAAGAAUAAGCACCGGCUAACUUCGUG
RNAcentral lists this ribosomal RNA (492 nucleotides) under uncultured bacterium. Its description in RNAcentral is "partial 16S ribosomal RNA". It matches the Rfam family "Bacterial small subunit ribosomal RNA", at positions 29 to 507 of the family's 1533-position model. The record is from RNAcentral.